CUUACCUGAGCUAUCCUGAGCUCAUCAAAGGACAGAAAUCUGCUGAGACCCUUGUUCUAAUCUCUUUAUUGAUAGGCACAACAGCUUGAAGAAACCAAAUGGACUGGAUGCCAAAAGCAACUUUGUGACCCCCUAUCAGAGGAAGUCAAGACUGGUGAGAAAUUGGUGCAGACCAAAGGAGGUGACCUCUAGUUACUUUUGAAUGAUUAACAUAUCAUUAUCAUACUAAAAUCCCCUCUGCUAAGUGAAGAUCACCGCCAUUUUGUGUACAUGCAAUGUAUGGAGAAGUAUGUUCAUGAAUUGCACCUACCACUUGGAACUCCACCCUAUACGUGCCUGCAUACCUCCCCCUACAUUCAACUCCUUAAAACUCCCAUACCCCCCAUUGCCUGGGAAGAGGUACUUUUAGAUCAUGAGCUCCCCUUCUUUGGCCACUGAAUAAAACCUGAUUGCCUUUCUAAUUUGACAUUCUUUCUUUGUGGCUGACAUAAAGUAGGGAAAGAAUGCAGGUUACUGGUGACAGUUCCAGCCCAAGUCAAAUGUCUGCAGAGCCUUAAGCUUCAUGUGCCUAAUUAGUGAAAGUAAUUUGUGGUACAAUGAUUAAAAGAAUAACGUUUGAGAAGACAAGGGUUUGAAUGCUUCCCCACUUACAGGCAUAUAACCUUGGAAAAUCACUCAGCUUCUCUAAGCCUUAUCAUCUUCAUCCACAUAAUGGGCAUACUUAUAGCAAACUUUUGUUGAACACUUAUUAUAUGCUAGGACAUUUUUAAAAGUGUAUUUCUGGCGGGGCAUUGUGGCUCAUGCCCGUAAUUCC
This 814-nucleotide long non-coding RNA is filed under the name Homo sapiens (human). Its description in RNAcentral is "HSALNT0312142". Lineage: Eukaryota; Metazoa; Chordata; Mammalia; Primates; Hominidae. The record is from RNAcentral.